CGAGUGAAGCGGCAAAAGCUCAAAUUUGAAAUCUGGCACUUUCAGUGUCCGAGUUGUAAUUUGAAGAAGGUAUCUUUGGGUCUGGCUCUUGUCUAUGUUUCUUGGAACAGAACGUCACAGAGGGUGAGAAUCCCGUGCGAUGAGAUGUCCCAGACCUAUGUAAAGUUCCUUCGAAGAGUCGAGUUGUUUGGGAAUGCAGCUCUAAGUGGGUGGUAAAUUCCAUCUAAAGCUAAAUAUUGGCGAGAGACCGAUAGCGAACAAGUACAGUGAUGGAAAGAUGAAAAGAACUUUGAAAAGAGAGUGAAAAAGUACGUGAAAUUGUUGAAAGGGAAGGGCUUGAGAUCAGACUUGGUAUUUUGUAUGUUACUCUCUCGGGGGUGGCCUCUACAGUUUACCGGGCCAGCAUCAGUUUGAGCGGUAGGAUAAGUGCAAAGAAAUGUGGCACUGCUUCGGUAGUGUGUUAUAGUCUUUGUCGAUACUGCCAGCUUAGACUGAGGACUGCGGCUUCGGCCUAGGAUGUUGGCAUAAUGAUCUUAAGUCGCCCGUCUUGAAACACGGACC
RNAcentral lists this ribosomal RNA (561 nucleotides) under Lodderomyces parapsilosis. Its description in RNAcentral is "eukaryotic LSU rRNA". It matches the Rfam family "Eukaryotic large subunit ribosomal RNA", at positions 90 to 667 of the family's 3401-position model. The record is from RNAcentral. Lineage: Eukaryota; Fungi; Ascomycota; Pichiomycetes; Serinales; Debaryomycetaceae.